AUGAGUACUACUGGUUUUGAUGGUCCUUCAGAAAGGCCAGCAAAAAGGAAGAGAAAGAACCAAUUCAAGGGUAUCUGUCAGCGCCCCUCGGGUAAAUGGGCUGCUGAAAUCAGAGAUCCUAGCAAGGGUGUCCGUGUCUGGCUCGGUACUUUCAACAGUGCUGAAGAAGCCGCAAGAGCUUAUGAUGUCAAAGCACGCCGGAUCCAUGGCAAGAAGGCCAAGGUUAACUUUGUAGAGGAAAUAGCAGUUCAGGAACCCAAAGCACCCAAGCCAAGCACAGGACAGGAAACUAUCGUCACACCAGCAGUCAACAACCAUGCUAACCCAAAUGCUUUCGUGUACCCAUCUCCUGACUUUGCAUCAAACCAGCCACUUAUUCAGCUUGAUAACGUGCCAUUUGUUCCUGCAAUGAACUCCGCUGUCCCUAUUGAAGCUCCUGUUAUGAAUAUGUACUAUGAACAGGGAAGCAACACUUUUGGCUGCUCUGACUUGGGCUGGGAGUAUAACAUCAAGACUCCAUAUAAAUCAUCCAUGGCUCUCAUUUCCACUAUUGUUGAAGGAGCAGAAUCUGCACUUGUCCAGGGUAACACCUACAACUCAGUGGUGAUUGCUGAAGGAGCUGAAUAUGCGCUUGUUCGGAGUAACACCUACAACUCAGUGGUGCCUCCUGUUACGGAGAAUGAUGCUAUCGAUUUCGAAGAUUGGAUGAGGUUUUGUAUGGAUGAUGGCGUCGAUGAGCCGAUUGAUAGCCUUCUGAAUUUUGAUGUGCCUCAUGAUGUCGUCGACAGCAUGGACCUUUGGAACUUUGAUGACAUGCCCAUCCGUGGCGAAUUUUUCUAA
This 840-nucleotide ribosomal RNA is filed under the name Triticum aestivum (bread wheat). RNAcentral describes it as "partial small subunit ribosomal RNA". The record is from RNAcentral. Lineage: Eukaryota; Viridiplantae; Streptophyta; Magnoliopsida; Poales; Poaceae.